Bos taurus (domestic cattle) is the source of this 805-nucleotide long non-coding RNA. Lineage: Eukaryota; Metazoa; Chordata; Mammalia; Artiodactyla; Bovidae. The record is from Ensembl.
AUCCAGGCCCUUGGCAGUGGAAGUGUAAAGUCAUAAUCUCUGGACUGCCAGGGAACUUCCUUUUUUUUCUCUAAUUCUUCUGUAAAGGAACCACUUUUCAUUUCUUUUUUCUACAAAUGGAAAAGCAACAAAUAUAUUUUGAAUCAGUGAGGGUAAAAAGGUUGCAUUUUUCUUAUCAGCUAAGAUUGCUAAUUGCUACCUCAUGCUGUAUCAGGAAGGACUGUUGGUUACAACCAGGUUCUUCCAGAAAGAGUGCUGUGGUCAAUUAGUGAGGUCUGCUAUUGCCUUUAGGAGGAUAGAUGAUGACUUGCAAGUCAUCCUAGGUUGAAACAAGAAUCAAGGCCAAUCUUAAAUUAGAUGGAAGAACUGGGCAUCUACAUGGCAUAAGUCAGAGUUGAGGACACAGUGAGGAAGAAGUCAUCUGUAAGCCAAGAAGAAGGCUUUUACCAGGAAUGAAUCUGCAGACACCUUGAUCUGGAACUUUCCAUCAUCCAGAAAUGGCUGGCUUCCUUCCCUGUUGUUUGACCUGAGACCAAACUAUGGUGGAGGUAAUGAAGACAAUGGCGACUUCCUUCAAAAGGGCCUGGGCACGCACUGCCGAACUCAGUGCCCCUGACACUGCACCAGGCCACUGCCGACCCACGCCUCUGCUGGAGACUCUUGAACACUCACAGGCAAGACUCCUGGGUCAGUCUCUUGUGGGGUUACUGAUGCUUUCUCCUGGGUCCUGGUGCACACAAGGUUUUGUUUGUGCCAUCUAAGAGUCUGUUUCCCCAGUCCUGUGUAAGUUCUGGCAGCUCUAUGG